AUGGUUUUUUAUUUCUGCUUUUCCUUCUUGGCAGACUUCAGGUUCUUGAAAAGGCCUAUUCUUGUCCAUGCACGAUACUCACACAACCAUACUGCCUUCCUUUCGCAAUAUUCAUUCUACAAGUCAUUGUUAAUUUGUUUUAUUCAGAUACUUUUUAAUUUUUGUUUCAGGUAUUGCCGAACAAGUUUAUUCAAUUCAGUUAGUUUGAUGGCUUAUAAUGCCUUCUACACAAGCAUUCCUGUUCUAACUACUGCUCUGGACAAGGAUUUAUCUGAAAAGACAGUGGCACAGAACCCAGAAAUUUUACUUUACUGCCAGGUUGGAAGGGCUUUUAAUCCAAGUACAUUUGCUGGUUGGUUUGGUCGAUUAUUAUAUCAUGCAAUUGUUAUUUUCUUAAUCACCACUCAUGCUUAUGCCGAUGAAAAAGGUGAGACGGAGGAGUUGUCAAUGGUUGCUCUCUCAGGAAGUACAUUGUUGCAGGCGUCUGUCUGUUGUGACAUUAGAGAUGAGUUCUUUCACUUCUCUGCGGUUUCUGCCAAAUGGGGAAACUUUGCUGCUUUCCACAUCAUAAAUUUCUGUAUCGGCAGCAUACCAACUGCUGGGAUGUACACUAUCAUGUACCGCCUUUGUAGACAGCCGCCAUACUGGAUAACAAUGGCGCUAAUCAGUGGAGUUGGCAUGGGUCCUGUAAUAGCUCUGAAAUAUUUGAAAUAUACAAGUCCUAGUGCUAUUAACAUUCUUGAGAAGACCGAGCAAUCACGCGGCCCUAUGUAUACCCUGGUAAAUCUGGAAUCUCAACUGAGGUCAGAGAACGAUAAUUCGACCAGCUCCAUAUCGACCGCGUCGGUCAAGAAUAAGAGCUCAGUUUAUGAGCCCCUGCUGUCUGAUUCUCCUAUGGCAUCCAGGAGAUCAUCACUAGCACCGUCAUCAUUUGACAUCUUUCAUCCAGCUCAGUCAAGGGUUGCAGCUGCUUAUCCCAGAAAUAUUAAAACCAGUUAA
RNAcentral lists this ribosomal RNA (999 nucleotides) under Triticum aestivum (bread wheat). RNAcentral describes it as "partial small subunit ribosomal RNA". Lineage: Eukaryota; Viridiplantae; Streptophyta; Magnoliopsida; Poales; Poaceae. The record is from RNAcentral.